AGCGCGACCGGGUCGACACCGCGGGUCACCACCAGAUAGUCGCGGAUCACCGUGCUGUGCCGCAUCUC
Small RNA from Nocardia asteroides NBRC 15531, 68 nucleotides. It matches the Rfam family "ASdes TB sRNA". NCBI's taxonomy places the organism in Bacteria, Bacillati, Actinomycetota, Actinomycetes, Mycobacteriales, Nocardiaceae. The record is from Rfam.